CAUUUACUAAAAUUAUUAUUAUAAAUUUAUUUAUUUGCUUCAAUUGACAGUCAUGUUCUGAUGAAGACAGUAGCAAAACAAACAAGAAUGAUUUCAAAGAAACAUCGGAUCCUGACAAAUGUGUCAUUGGUAGUGUGCCUGACAUUUCCAAAGAAGUUGUUUCAGCCAUCUCCACUGUUGAAGUCCAUUGUCUCUUCAGUAAUACCCCUUCCAUCUCUGGUGGAGAUGAAGUUAUUUGGUGUAUUGACACUAAAGAUAUUUGCACCAAUGCACCACCCAUCUCAGCUGACAACCUCACCAUGUCUUCUGUUGCUGCUGCCAUUACUAUUGAUGAGACUGCUACCUUGUCUAGUGAAACAUCUGCCUUCUUUAGUGGCUACACCCACAGCUUUUCGAUUGGUCCCACUUUCAGUGACACUGGACACACACCGUGCUUCUCUGCUAGCAACACCACUGGGGCAUCCCAUAGUCCCACCCAAACCAAUGCACCCAGCAUUUUUUUAGUACAUACCUUGACCUAUUUGAGGAAGAAUACCUCUCUGAUGACGCUGAUCUCCAGGAAGCCAUUUUAAGGUCCUUAGAGUCCAGCACAAAUGAGAGUGAUUCAAGGAUGACUUUAGAGAGAAUAAUGGAGCAGAUUGGUUCAAGAGUAAAUAAUGACAGCAUUGUACGCUUCAAUAUCAUAAGAAGAAAUGUGUGGGAUGGAACAUCCAGAUCAAUGGGCAGAUCCAAUUUUUCACCCGAGAAGAAGGUGGAUGUUAAGUUUACUGAUGACUAUGGAACAUCUGAGGGUGCUAUGGACAAUGGAGGGCCUACU
Carassius carassius (crucian carp) is the source of this 817-nucleotide long non-coding RNA. RefSeq lists it as uncharacterized. Lineage: Eukaryota; Metazoa; Chordata; Actinopteri; Cypriniformes; Cyprinidae. The record is from RefSeq and is a predicted model, not a curated record. The transcript has 3 exons.